CAGAAAACAAUAUGAUAUCUCAUAAAAAAAUCUAUCAAUCUUAUUUUCCCGAUAGACAUAAGAUGAGAGUACACAAUGGAAUGGACAAUAAUGUUCCCCAACAAACAUGGAAAAAUUCAAUAGCUGGUACACACUGUUCAUAAACAAUAAUUUCAUAAGUGUGUAAAUGAUAUAUUACCUCCCUUUGCACUUAAUUUCAUAUGCAUUCUAGAAUCAAAAUCUAUAACUAAACAACAAAGUGUAUAUCAAAGUGUAAUAUUCAAAUUACAAGUAUUUUUUUUUCAUCUCUUUUUAUAUGCUACAAACAAAAUAUGAUAAGUUAAUCCUGGUCAGAUGUUCAAUGAUUUAUUUGAAAAAGUAAGAAUCUACUUAAUAUUUGGGAAAUUCAUUGUAACAGGUAAAGGUUGAGCUUCUUAAAUACAUUGAUCGUUAUUUUGAUUUUUUGUUUACUUAAUGCUUUAGUAGAAAAAUACAUUCUGAGUCAUAAAAUGAGUAAAAUGAACUAGAGGUUCUAAAGAUCCUUUAUCUCUUAUCUACAUCAUUAUUAAACAGAUAUCAAAGAACUGCUGAAAAUUAAUAUGCAAAAGGAAAUUAUAUUACAAAGAUAUUGAAAACAGAGUUCUGUCAUACACCAUAUAUUUAUAUCUUUAACAAACAUUUUUACAUUAAGCAAAUGCUGCAUCACAAAACAAAAUAUCAACCUUCUUUGGCAUUUUUACAACCUAUGCGUCCUCUAUCAAAUGUGCAUUUAUGUUGCAGUCUUCAACAAACUGAUUUAAACAACAAAUUCAUAUAAAAGAGAGGACUUUUCUUUUUAAUAUUUAAUUUCAAUGGGUGUUAAUCCUCAUACGAACACAAUUUUUGCAGUCAUAUAUUGGUAUCCCGUUGUUGUCAUCCUUGUUUGAAGACAGUUGGUUUAUGGACAAUAUAGCUUUAGUAUCAGUUCAUAAAAAUCUAUGAAAUUUAAAUACAAGGUUUAUAACCACAAAAGGAAGUUCAGAAUGAUUUUAGGGGUUCUGGUUCCAACAGUUUAGAAAUUAGGGGCAUUUUUGUAGUUUCCUGACAAUAACUUGUGUUUAGUAUGAAUCUCAGUGGAGGAUCCAGAAACAGUAUAGUGUAUUGAAUAUUGAUUAUAAAUUCAAAUCAUAUAACCAAUUAAGUUCUUUGACUACAGUUAUUCUAUGUCAGGGUUGGACCUCUCCAGUUGUAUCCAACUGUGUUCAGCGAAGCAGUGGAUUGAGGUAAAACUAUUUUUUUUGCUGUCAUUUGAUUUCAUUGUUUUAUAAAAGUCAGCAUGGAAGCUUGUAGAAAAAUUGGUUCUUGGAAUGUAUCUGAAAUAUUACUUUACUGAUAUCUACAAAACCAUAUAAUUAGGUACACUAUGACUAUGAAUAUCAAGGAAUCUGAAGUUUUAGACAAAAUUUACACAUUAUGUAACAAAAACAAAAUGUCAUUAGUACAAUAUCAGAGUGAUCCAUCCACUAACACACAAGUUAUUGUCUAGAAACUAGAAAAAAAUAAUCUUUUUUGCCGCUUUUUGUCCCUUAAUCCCUAAACUGUUGGCCCCAUAACCCCGAAAAUGAAUCCCAACCUUCUACUUGUGGUAAUAAUCAUUGUGAUACAAUUUCAGAGCAAUCAAAAUACUAAUUCACAAGUUAUUAUCCUGAAACUAGAAACAUGUUUGUUUUGGGCCCCUAAUUCCUCAGCGGUUGGGAUGAUGACAUCCUCCCCAAAAUCAAUCCCAACCUUCCUUUUGUGGUAUUGAACCUUCAUAUAUAUAAAGUUUCAUAGAGAUCCAUUAUACAUUUCGCAGGAAUAAAAAAUAAUAUAUACAAGUUGUAUUUUGAUCACAAAACAACAAAUAAACUCAAAAUUGAAACCAGAUGCUCCGCAGGGCGCAGCUUUAUACGACCACAGAGGUUGAACCCUGAACGGUUGGGGCAAGUAUGGACACAACUUUCAAGCUGGAUUCAGCUCUAAAUUUGGACUGUGAUUAAAUAGUUGACACAGCAUAGGUUUCUGACACAGAAUGAAUGUGGUCUAAUGAACUUAAAAUGUUUGUUUUGCCUUUGAGCAAUUCACUAUGCUGUUGAAUAUUAAUCCUCUCAAAAAAAUUUAAGAAAUAGCAAUAACUACUUAUUUAAAUACAUCAUAAAAUAUUAAAAUGUAAAAAAAGUGCUUGUUAUCACUGAAUGGUAAAAAUUGUUUUAAUUU
Molecule: long non-coding RNA, 2214 nt
Filed under: Mytilus galloprovincialis (Mediterranean mussel)
Lineage: Eukaryota; Metazoa; Mollusca; Bivalvia; Mytilida; Mytilidae
Source: RNAcentral